GUUGGUUGGAAGUAGGCAUGAACCAGAUAUGGUAUUGUACUAAUGUUUUCAAUUUUUUUUUUAAAAAAGCAUGGAAACCCUUUUAUUCCAAUGAACCCUCACCUGGAACUACACUUCAUAAAACAGAUUAAAAUGGAGCUCUGGUUGACAUGAGGUCAAAAGCUCAGAAGUUUGCCCCAUACUCUCUGCUAGUCACCCUACCCACAGAACCCCAGGAAUUCUUCCUGGACUUUUAUGGGAAGAUUUGACUUUCAUAACAUGAAACCUCCAGCAAAUUUCAUAUGUUAAUUCCUACCACUCAGCACAGUUGUGAGGGGUAUCUGCCAAGAGUAAAAUCAACCUAGUUGAGAAAAAAAGAAAAUUUCAUGUAUUUGGGACUAAUUAGGAUUGCAAUCCAGGAAAACCCAGAUCCAAACAGUAUUGAAAAUGUGCUCUGAAUUUUUCAAAAUGGCAGCUGGACUUAAUGGAAAGGGGGUUUGGAAAUUAUAUCACUUGUUAGUUGGGAACUACGAUUGGUGCUGGCAAAAAUUCCUCUGUCUUGUAAGAAAGGGUUUCUAUGCAACCUCAGUUUCUGGGUGGUCUGAGGAAGAGGGUUGGGUACAGAAAAUGAGCAGAGGGUGUACCCAGAAGGCUGAGGAGAAGGUGGUCCACGUCAAGGUGUGCUCAGAUAGGGAAUACAUAAUCACUGUUGGCUAUGAUUAUUCUGAAAACAUUUGUUAGGAACUUAAUAAGUUACUUAUUAGAAUUGAAUGCAAUGAACAAUUAUAAAAUACAUUAAAUAAUCACAUUCUAUAUUAUUCAAGUAUAUUCAAUAUAAUAGAAAUCAUUGCAUAUUACUGCAUUAUACCAUAAAUGGCUGCAUCACUAUAUUUACCAGAAAGAUGCCCAACUCAAUAGUAAUAAAAAAUGGGGAUUAAAACAAGAGAAUGUUACUUUUUUUGUCCUUGCAUUUUGGUGAAGAUAAAGAUCAACAGCACGGAUGCUGGUGAGGACCCAGGGAAAUAUACACUCUUUAGCACCAUUACUGGGAGUAACUAAAACUGACGUUAAGUAUACCCUUUUGAACUAGCAUGAUACUUUUCAGAAUUUAUCUUAAGGAAAUGAUUAUUUUCCUAAGCUGUAAUUUCAAGGCUUUUCAUUGCUUGUGAUUAUUUUAAAAACAUGAAACAGCUUAAAGGUCCAAGUGUAGGAGAAUGAUUAAAUAGAUUUUGAUAUCCUAAUACUACACAGCUAUUAAAACUGUAAUAUAAAUUUAUAUUUCUUUACCAAGGCAGGUUGCAUGAUUUAUUAAGUGAAAAUGCAGGUGGUAAAACAACAUGUUAUAAUGUGCUUCUUAUCUGUUUAAAAAUCUGGGUAUUCUAUAGAUGUGUAUGUAUGCAUUUUAGCAUGCUUGUGUGCAUGGGAAAGAUUCUGGAAGUUUUACACCAAAAAUUUAGUAGUAGGAGAG
RNAcentral lists this long non-coding RNA (1447 nucleotides) under Marmota monax (woodchuck). The record is from RNAcentral. Lineage: Eukaryota; Metazoa; Chordata; Mammalia; Rodentia; Sciuridae.